ACUACAGAAAAUGACUGAGCGGCGAACGGGUGAGUAACGCGUGAGCAACCUACCUUAGUUACUGGGAUAGCCCGAGGAAACUCGGAUUAAUACCGGAUAUUCUUAUUUAAUCACAUGAUUUUUUAAGGAAAGGUCAGCCGAACUAAGAUGGGCUCGCGUUCUAUCAGCUAGUUGGUAGGGUAAUGGCCUACCAAGGCUACGACGGAUAGCUGGUCUGAGAGGACGAUCAGCCACACUGGGACUGAGACACGGCCCAGACUCCUACGGGAGGCUGCAGCAGGGAAUAUUGCGCAAUGAGCGAAAGCUUGACGCAGCGACACCGCGUGUGGGAUGACGGAUCUAGGUUUGUAAACCACUUUCAGGAGGGAAGAAAAUGACGGUACCUCCA
Molecule: ribosomal RNA, 388 nt
Filed under: uncultured bacterium
Lineage: Bacteria
Description: bacterial SSU rRNA
Rfam family: Bacterial small subunit ribosomal RNA
Source: RNAcentral